AUACGGAGGGUGCAAGCGUUAUCCGGAUUCAUUGGGUUUAAAGGGUGCGCAGGCGGAUAUUUAAGUCAGUGGUGAAAUCCCGGGGCUCAACCUCGGAACUGCCAUUGAUACUGAAUAUCUGGAAUACGGUUGAAGUGGGCGGAAUGUAGCAUGUAGCGGUGAAAUGCAUAGAGAUGCUACAGAACACCGAUCGCGAAGGCAGCUCACUAAGCCGAUAUUGACGCUCAGGCGCGAAAGCGUGGGGAGCAAACAGGAUUAGAAACCCUAGUAGUCC
Molecule: ribosomal RNA, 274 nt
Filed under: uncultured bacterium
Lineage: Bacteria
Description: partial 16S ribosomal RNA
Rfam family: Bacterial small subunit ribosomal RNA
Source: RNAcentral